RNAcentral lists this long non-coding RNA (359 nucleotides) under Homo sapiens (human). Its description in RNAcentral is "HSALNT0351479". Lineage: Eukaryota; Metazoa; Chordata; Mammalia; Primates; Hominidae. The record is from RNAcentral.
CUCUCACCGGCUGCGGCCUCGGCUACAGCCAGGGCCCAGAGGGCUCCGAGUCCCGGGAGCGGAGGCCGGAGUCGGGUUCCUGUAGAGGCUGCUCCUCCUUGUCCCCGCUCGGACGUGGUCCCCGCUGCUCGAGGUGCAGCUGCAGCAGGGCCCGGCGGUACAUGGCUUCCAGCUUCUCAAGUCGGGCCCUCAGGGCCCUGGGGCUGCCCGGCUCGUCCUCUCGGCCGCUGUCUCUAGCCCUCCGGUUCGUGCUGGCCUCUUCAGGGACCCGGCGUGCCUCCGCGGGCGUCCCGUUGCCGCCUUCGCCGGGGAGCCGCAAAGCCUGACGGAAGAGGCUGCGGUUCUCGCGCUUCAGCCGC